This is a long non-coding RNA of Passer domesticus (house sparrow), 7856 nucleotides long. RefSeq lists it as uncharacterized. The transcript has 2 exons. Lineage: Eukaryota; Metazoa; Chordata; Aves; Passeriformes; Passeridae. The record is from RefSeq and is a predicted model, not a curated record.
AAGCAGGGGAGCGGAUGUGGCAGGGUUGGAAGAGGGUGUCACGGAUACAGCAUGGUGUGGGUCUGAGGCAGUGAAUUACCUAAGCAGGACCUCUUGGCCUCUGUCCAAUCGGACAGCCCCAGGUCUAAGGUGAAGUCUAAAAGGUCCUAUGAGGUGAAUUUGUACCAAAUUGGGAGAGAAAUUUCUGGGCUCUACUCUGCAGCCAGGAGCCAUGGCUUGUCCAGGAGCCUUUGACAGAAGGUGCCUGGGGAGACUCGGGGUCGACCACUAGGAUUUUGGAUUCAAAGCUACAGAAGGUCUGAAGCCAACUACAUCCCAACAGAGAAGGAAAUCUUAGCUGCCUAUGAAGGGGUCCAAGCUGCCUCAGAGGUGAUUGGUACAGAAGCACAACUCCUCCUGGCACACCAACUACAGGUGCUGGGGUGAAUGUUCAAAGGCAAGGUUCCUUCCACUCACCAUGCCACCAGUGCUACAUGGAGCAAGUGAAUUGGUCGUAUCACACAGCGCGCCUGUAUUGGUAAAGUGAAUCACCCUGGGAUUUUGGAGGUAAUUACAAACUGGCCCGAAGGUGAAAAUUUUGGUGUCACAGAUGAAGAACAAGAACUAGUGACGUGGUGUUAUGGUUUGACUCAGGCGCAAUGUCAGUGCCUCUAUGAAAAUGCACUUUCUUUAGUGGCUUCUGUGACAUGUGAUCAAGAACAGAGCAAAGCAGGCUCUAACUUGUGAAUGGAGGGAAAACACAACACUUUAUUAAUCUAUAACAUAAAGACAAGAGGAGGAAAAAAGGAAAAAACUUUCACACAACAAUCCACAAUGGAAAACUUCCAAAACACUCCUCCUCUCCUCACCUCUUUAACACUCAAUUCUCAGUCCAAUACCAUCCUCCACACAACCUCCUCCCAGUUCAUCAGCAGAGAGGAGUCUUCCUCUUGUACCAUGAGCCUCCCCAGGAAACACAGUUGGAGCCUCCUGUGCUUCUGUCAUACGUGGCAGCCGCCCAGAGAUAAUCUGCCGUGGUUAUUAUUUUCCUUCUGUCUUGUGCUCUCAUUGUUGUCCAUGGAUCUAAAAUGCUUCUGAAGUCUUUUUAAGAAUGCCUUGCCCAGUUCUAAGAAGUGGCAGCUUUUCACUAUUUGGGACACUUGUCCUCUCUAUAUUUCACCUCUUGGGGCUGAAGGGCCUUGUGAACAGAGAUCUUUCUCGGUUGAAAUUAGAGGGCCCCACCACACCCUCCCCAUCAGUCUCUGUUCUUUCUACUUCUUCUCAUAACAGCUUUGUCACUCUUGGCUUCUGGCCAACCGCCUCCCCCAAGAUGCAGUCUCUACAUUACAGGAAGAAAUUGGUUCUGUCUCGUGGCCAUGUAAAAGGGAAGUCUAGCCAAAAAGCUGAUGCAAUCAUCUUUUUUUAUCUAGGGCGCUUCUCAUCUGCUGGCAUUUCUUUACCCACUCAAACUUUCUUCUCAUUUGCUUAUCUUCCGUCUCUUCUCAAUUCUCAGCUGGAGAAGAUCAGUGUUUUUUUACAGCUUCCAUUGUCUUAGCACCAAAGAGGUUAAAACCUCAGCUGCGGUCUGCCAGUGGCUGGGCACCUUGCCCCUCCCCCACUUCUUCUCUUGGCCAUAGUGCUAGCACAAGAUAUCAAAUGUCAAGCCAGCACAGACUCUCUAUCACUCCCUCCUGGAGGGGGGCUGCCCGAAAUAUCUCAAAUCUCUUCUACCCCUGCACUUGGCAGGGGCUCUGGCCUCCCUUUCCACAGGCUGCAUGGCCUCCCCCUCCCCCACCCAGACGCAGCUGGGCAGGGGAGGAGGUCAGAUCAACUCACUGACCAGACUCAAAAGAGAGUGUCCCUCUGGAAAUCUUCUGCUUUUAAUCCUUGUGUGUUCUCAGAGGCGUAUCUAGGUCCCCAGUAGCUACAACAAUUGCUAAUUUUCAAAUCUGGCCACUGAUUGGUUUGACCACAACUUUCUCAGAAACUCACUUCCUGGUCAAACCAUGACACACAGGCUGAAGAAGCUCCACCAUAUAACCAACUGCCCGCAGAGGAAACGCGCUAUGCUCUUUUCACUGAUGGUUCCUGUCACAUUGUAGGGAUGAAAUGGAAGUGGAAAGCAGCCGCAUGGAGCCUCACACAACAGGUCACAGAGGCCACUGAAGGAGAAGGUGGAUCAAGACAACUUGCAGAACUCAAAGCCAUUCAGCUGGCCCUGGACAUAGCAGAAAGAGAGAAGUGGCCAAAGCUCUACCUCUACACUGAUUCAUGGAUGGUAGCCAAUCCUCUGUGGGGAUGGCUGGAGAGGUGGAAAGAGGCUAAUUGGCAGCGUAUAAGAAAACCAAUUAGGGCUGCUGAAGAGUGGAAAGACAUUGCUACCAGGGUAGGUGUCAUUGUCGAGGAGGUCACGACACAAAGCAGAGACCACAAGCAGUCUCAGAUGGCAACACUUUAUUAUUGAACAUGGCUGACCUUUUAUACACUUUUUAAUUGUUUUUGCUUCUUCUACCCUAACUAUUGGAUACAAUAAAUCAGCAUAACACCAUUGGUGAAAAGUUACAGUGACUUAACUAACUUUCUAAAUAUACUUCAUGCAGCUGUGAAGUUCUUAUCUUUCUUCAGUCCCUCAAUUCUCUUGGUCUCCUUGGUUACAGCCUUGGAGAGAGCUCCUUAUCAGCUUCUUCUUUCUUCUCAGCUUCUUCUUGCUCCUUUAGCUAACAGGCCCGCUGUUAGCCCCUUCUACAGGUAGGGAGGCUACCUGUGAAAGUCCACUACGUAGAUUCCCAUGUCCCCAAGAGUAGAGCUAAUGAGGAGCACCAAAACAAUGAGCAGGUAGACCAGUCUGCACAGAUAGGGGUGUCAAAGAUAGACCUAGAUUGGGAACAAAAGGGACACUUAUUCCUAGCUUGAUGGGCCCAUCAUGCCUCAGGUCAUCAGGGUAGAGAUGCCACCUAUAAGUGGGCAUGAGACUGAGAGGUGCAUUUAACCAUGGACAGUAUUUCUCAGGUUAUCCACAACUGUGAGACGUGUGCUGCCAUCAAACAGGCCAAGCAAGUGAAGCCCCUAUGGUAUGGUGGGCGGUGGUCCAAGUGCAAGUAUGGAGAGGCCUGGCAGAUUGACUACAUCACACUGCCCCAGACACGCCAAGGCAAGCACUAUGUGCUCACAAUGGUAGAAGCCACCACAAGAUGGUUGGAACCCUACCCGGUCUCUCAUGCUACUGCCCGUAACACCAUCCUGGGCCUUGAAAAGUAGGUCCUUUGGAGGCAUGGUACCCCGAAAGGAUUGAGUCAGAAAACAGGACUCAUUUCAAGAACAGCCUUAUCAACACCUGGGCUAGGGAACAUGGCAUUGAGAAGGUGUACCAUAUCCCCUACCAUGCACCAGCUGCAGGCAAAGUAGGGAGGUACAAUGGACUGUUAAAAACCCAGUUGAAAGCCUUGGGUGGGGGAUCUUUCAAAAAUUGGGAGCAGCAUUUAGCAAAGGCCAUCUGGUUAGUUAACACCUGAGGUUCCACCAACCGAGCAGGUCCUGCCCAGUCUGAGUCCCUGAAUAUAGUAGACAAAGUCCCAGUGGUACAUGUCAGAGGUUUGUUGGGGUAGACAGUGUGGAUCAAUUCUGCCUCGAGUACAGACAAACCCAUUUGUGGGGUUGUCUUUCAUCAGGGACCAGGUUGCACAUGGUGGAUAAUGCAGAGAGAUGGAACAACACGAUGUGUACCUCAGGGAGAUCUGAUUGUGAAGUGAGACUCAUAUGCAAAUAUCACUGUUUCCUGGAUGUUACUGCCAUUGUCUGUACAUUAAACCACACAGACAUGAGAUAGAAGGAAAUGUGUAAGUGUCGAAGGUCUGAGCAAGUGAAAGAUGGAGUUUUGAGUGAGUAAAUAAAAGUGGGGAAACCUGCAGCUCUGUAGUAUGGGGCCUGGAUUCAGUGGUCCAGUGUGUGGAUAUGACAGGGGCAUGAUGGAUAUUGCUUGUAUUUUUUUGGGUGGAACAGAUGGAAGUUUUUACGUGAAUAAAAUGCAUGAUGUUUGGUAGUAUGUUGAUGAUAUGGGGAUAAGGGGUGGAAUGUCCUAGCGUGACAUUAUGAUGCUUGUAUCCCCAUUCAUCUGUUCUGUUUAUGCUGGAUAUUAGGUUCUGUGCCUUCAAGACUGGCUCUGAAGAGUGAAGUUUUGUUUUGCUUUGUUUUGUUUUCAACCUGCUCCCCCACAGCUGGCAGGAAACAGAGAUGGUUCAGUACAUAGUGCAGCUUUUGCUUUUUGCUUUGCUUUUUCUUUGCUCUUCCUCCUGCUUUGCUCCUGCUUUGCUCUUGCUUUUGCUCCUGUUUGUUAGUUACUUUAGCUAGGCAGUCCAAAUUUUCCCUGGACUGCUUUUUCUUUCCCUUUCUUGGAACCACUCGAGCCUGCUCUGGACUGGGACCUGGGAAACACCAAGAGUUUGCACCUUGUGGCCUGCAGCAGCUAUUCCCAGUGCAGGAGGGACCAAUAACAGAGCGACCUCUCCCAGGAGAGACUUUCUGAAUUUGUCAUCUUUUGCCAGAGCAGUGAAAGACUGUUGUCAUCCAGUAUUGUUCAUUUUUUGUGCUGGGGGGUGCUGUGCCUGUUAAAUAAACAGGUUCUUUCCACUUCUUUCUGAGGAAUCCUUCCCAAACUGGUUGGGGGGAGGGGCUGUGUGGGUUUGCUUUCCGGAGGCACCCCCUUUUGGAGGUUUUCUCCCAAAUUUGCCCUAAACCAGGACGCUCAGCAGGCAGGGGGUGCAGGGCUACAGUGCAGUGAAAACUUGGAACAGUGCCAAAGAAGCAGCGGGUGUGGGGCAGCAGCUGCCCACUUCCCAGCAGGGCAGGGAGAGGUGAGCUCAGGAUCCUGGGCACCCAAGCACAUGGUAAUAAGUCUCUCUUUUAGUGAGGUAGUUGUUAAUAAGGUUCCAGUUCAGUGGCUGCUCUCACAAGCAGAGGCCCACCUCACAGCAGAAGAAGCAGCUCCAGGCUGGGCUCCGGCAGCAGCCAGUGAAUUCCUUUCCCCAAACAGCACCUCUGACUGUCCUCCUCCGAAGUCGAGAGAGAGAGCUAGCAGCUGCCCCAGCCCCGUCUUUUACCUGCCCAAUUCUUGUGGUAUCUCUACCCCUCUGAGAGAAACUCCCAGAUAAGAGAACUGCAACCAGAUGCCCUCCUCCCCUGAACUUGGCCACUUCUUUUGUUUUUCUGAAGUACCCAGGUGUUAGUGUUUCCUAGCAACUCAUGGAAAAAAAUUCUACAAGUAAAUAAGAACAAAAGGAAAGAAACCUAACUCCCAAAACUCUUAUAACAGGAGAUUUCGUGUCUUGUCAUUUACUUUUAUAAAUAGGAGCAGUAAAACUUAGCUUAGCAGUAGCCUAUGUAACUUAAAGAUACCUCAACUAUUAGACCUUUAGCUGUGACUGCCCAGAAAUUAAAGCUCUAUCAAACAUCUCAAAAGUAUGUCACUUUACCCUUGCUAUUGACAGGCAUUUUUUAAUAUUGUUGCCUUAUUUAUAAAGUAAAUUAAUAUUAAUUUUCAAAGCACCUGUGAGCAAUGUUAUUGCAGCAUCAUAUUGAUUUUUCUGUGUGUAUUAGUUGUGAGGUCUGUAUUCUUUUGUACUGAGAAGAUCAGCUCUAUGAAACACAUGAUAUUGGCUUUCCAAGGACCUAAAACUACACAAUAUUUAUUGUUUUGUUGGCUUUUCCUUAAACCACUUCUCUGAAUCCAGUUAUAUGAUGUGGUUGCAAGCUGUCUAAUAGUGUGUUCAUGCAGCAAUAACAGCAAUUUCAGAGUUUAUCAUAAUCAUUUGACAUUGCCUGUACCAUAAGCUGCGGUAUAUUUUUACUCUACCUUUGUCUGUAUUUGCAGUCACACCACACUUUAAAGCAGAGUUACUCCCAUAUACUUUUGGCUGUAGCACAAAGCAGAAGUAUGAUGUAGAACAGUAAUUCAGAUUAUACAGUUCAUCUGCAACUUAGUGCUAAAUUAAUAGUGGUGAUUGAAUAACUUUUAUGUCCAUUAUUUCUUAUUUUCUAGCCUAUAUUUUUAUUCCUUGCAGUAUGCAUAUGGGACACUGGCAAAUUUCCAAGCCAAGGAAAAAUAGUGUAAUUUUAAAAUCUAGAUGUAAUUGUCCCCUUUCUCAAUAUUUGUGUCUACAGUUUACCACUGUAUUGUGAUUUAUCUAAAUAAUUCCAUGCUGUAACUUACUACAGGGUUUUCACAUUUGUUUCCCAUGUGAUAUGACAGCUUUGCCUUGAAAACUUGUGCAUGAUUGUGAAAAAUUACUCUCCUUAAUCUGUUUUAUAUUUAGGUGAAAUCUUAGAUUCCUGUAAUAGUUUAGUUUAUAGAAAAGGAGUUUUCACAUGAACAUGUAUUUUAUUUGCACACAAAAAGUAGUCAUGCUGAACAAAGCAGUUUAUAUCAGUUCAAAAUUGCCAUCUUCAAUGUGGAAAGUAAAUGCAAUUUUUUUCAACAUACUGCUAUAAAAAAUUCCUAAAUUUUAAUUUUCCAUAAGUCACUAGAUGUCAAAAUUUCACAUAGUUUUCCACUUUCCUAUUAAAAUUGUGGCAAUGUGGUUGUGGUGGGCUGACCCUAACUAGAUGCCAGGUGGCCGCCAAAGCCCCUCUAUCACCCCCCUCCACAGCUGGACAGGGGAGAAAAAAUAUAAUGAAAGGCUCCUGGGUCAAGGUGGUCAAGGUAAGGACAGAGACAGGUCAAUCACCAAUUACCAUCAUGGGCAAAACAGACACACCCUGAGGAAAUUAGUUUAAUUUAUUAUCAAUCAGAGUAGGGUAAUGAGAAAUAAAACCAAAUCUUAAAAUCACCUCCCCCCCAUCCCUCCCUUCUUCCCGGGCUCAGCUUCAUUCACAAUUUCCUCUGCCUCCUCCCCCCCGAGCAGCACAGGGGGACAUGAAAUGGGGGUUGUAGUCAGUUCAUCACACAUCUCUGCUGCUCUUUCCUCCUCAAGGGGAGGACUUCUGACACUCUUCCCCUGCUCCAGUGAGGGGCUCCUCCCAAGGGAGACAGUCCUCCAUGAACUUCUCCAAUGCAAGUCCUUCCCACAGGCUACAGUUCUUCAUGAACUGCUCCAGCAUGGGUCCCUUCCACAGGGUGCAAUCCUUCAGGUACAAACUGCUCCAGCGUGGGUCCCCCAUGGGGUCACAAGUCCUGUCAGCAAACCUGCUUCAGCCUGGGCUCCUCUCCACGUGUCUGCAGGUCCCUGCCAGCAGCUUGCUCCAGCAUGGGCUUCCCACAGGGUCCCAGCUUCCCUUGGGUGCAUCCACUUGCUCUGGCAUGAAGUCCUCCACAAGCUGCAGUAGAAACACCCUGCCACCCCUGUAGUCCCCCCACUACCAAAACCUUGUCACAAAAACCCUACUACUGUAAUGUACAGACUAAUGCAUAAAACUUCUCAACCUCUGUAAUGUGAAAUUUUUCAGUGAGAUGGCUGGAGCACCAAAUGCAGAAAGGUUAAAUAUAUUUGCACGAAACUUAGGGAAAUUAUGACAGUUCUGCAUUGAGAUCCAUAGCUCAGAAAACCUCUAGUAGUUGUUCUGGUCCUUGAGAAAUCACUAAAGAAAAAACAUUUAAACAUAUGCAAUGAAAGAAAAUUUAUUCAUAUUUUUCAUUUGUGUCUGGACUUCAUUGUGGUGGCUAUGUUGUUUUGUUUCUAAUCUUUUAUCUUAAGCAGUUCAUCAGGGUUUUAAGGCUUUUUCCAUCUUUAGAAACAUUUUUUCUUUGUUCAGAUUAAAGUUGUUUCAGUAUAGUAUAACUAAUCCAGUGAGAUAAAAAUGUUGGAAUGCACAAUGUUUGCUGGACAAAUGAUUAUCUGAGGACUGAAAAAUCUUUUUGAGUGGAAACAAGAAAUAAAAUACUCAAU